CCCCUACGGGACGCAGCAGUGGGGAAUAUUGCACAAUGGGGGAAACCCUGAUGCAGCGACGCCGCGUGAAGGAAGAAGUAUCUCGGUAUGUAAACUUCUAUCCGCAGGGAAGAAAAUGACGGUACCUGACUAAGAAGCUCCGGCUAAAUACGUGCCAGCAGCCGCGGUAAUACGUAUGGAGCAAGCGUUAUCCGGAUUUACUGGGUGUAAAGGGAGCGCAGGCGGCAUGGCAAGUCAGAUGUGAAAGUCCGAGGCUCAACCUCGGGACUGCAUUGGAAACUGUCUGGCUAGAGUGCAGGAGAGGG
This 305-nucleotide ribosomal RNA is filed under the name uncultured bacterium. Its description in RNAcentral is "bacterial SSU rRNA". It matches the Rfam family "Bacterial small subunit ribosomal RNA", at positions 336 to 658 of the family's 1533-position model. The record is from RNAcentral.